GGCGGUGUCGCCAAGUGGUAAGGCACGGCUCUGCAAAAGCUGCACCCCCAGUUCAAAUCUGGGCACCGCCU
Molecule: transfer RNA, 71 nt
Filed under: Pseudanabaenococcus habilitatus PCC 7502
Lineage: Bacteria; Bacillati; Cyanobacteriota; Cyanophyceae; Pseudanabaenales; Pseudanabaenaceae
Description: tRNA-Cys (GCA) (tRNA-Cys-GCA-1-1)
Rfam family: tRNA
About the family: Transfer RNA (tRNA) molecules are approximately 80 nucleotides in length. Their secondary structure includes four short double-helical elements and three loops (D, anti-codon, and T loops).
Source: Rfam by way of RNAcentral